AGCCCUUCCCGACCAUGGGGAGCUCCAGCGUCCAGGUCGUCCCUGAACAGAGGAUGUUCCCAGGCAUAGAGUGGAAUCCAGACUUUGGCCUUUUGAAGUCGACUUGUGUUUCUGGGGCUGAAUCUCCCAAGGGAACUGGUUCUGGUGUGUUGAGAUGCAUUGGUGUGGGGGCACUGUGGCUGUGGGGCUGGCCUGGGCAUUGCAGGGUGGGUGUGGAGCAGCAUCCCUGACCUCUACCCAUUGAUGCCAGCAGCCCCUCCCCAGGUGUGACAACUAGAUACGUCUCUAGGCAUCACCAGUAUCCCCUGGGAGACUCCCAGGUGAGAGUCCCAAGUGGAUGCUAUUGCAGUAUUCACGGCCGGAUGCUACACGUCGCUAUUCCAUAUUCCAUUAUGUGAACAGACCACAGCUGACUUGUCCUGGUAGCCGUAAUUUGGCUGUUUCCAGUUGCAGACUAUUAAACACAGUCACUUUCCUGUGCUUCUCAGAUUAUCAUAUUCAGAAACAUAUUUGAGGGAGAUGCAAGCAGGCGGGUGGCUUCUCUUGGAGGCAGGAACUUUCUGGUAGGGAUUGUGGCACACAACUGUUGUUUCUCUAGGAUUUGCUGUGAAUGAGGGAAAAACAGUUGACUGUGAAUGAAGCAAGGUUCAUUUUCUUCCCAUGGUCAUUCCUUGGUGCACUGUAGACCCAGGAUAUUCCUACUCUGCAGGCUGUUUAAAUAAUACACACACACACACGCACACACAUGUAGCCAAACAUCGUUUGAAAUCCCAUCCCCCAGAGAUGACCGGUGUCAACAUUGUGGUGACUUCUUUUGGAGGCUUCUCUAGGUGUGUGUGUGCACACAUGAUUUUAUAUAAAUGGGGUUCUGCUAUCUGCGCUAUUUUGCAGCUUCCGUUUUUAAAUUUACCAUGUCUAUAUUUCCAUGCCAGUAGCUCAGACUGUAUCAUCAUUUUCACGGCUGCUUAAUAGUCUACAUUUGUCAUCCUGCUGGUGUGCGUCUGGCGUCGGGUUUGCAUUCUCACAGCGCCAUAAUGAGUCUUCCGUGUUCUCGCUUGGUUAUCUCUGUAGGACGAAUUCUUAGAGGUAGAAUUGCUCUGUUAAAUGUCUACACAUUUUUUUCUCAUUUUAAAAUUUAUUUUGGGUGUUUAAGCCAGAUCUGUAUUUAUUUACCGAGGGACCAGGAAGAAUUGUAGACUCAUAGGCGCAAAAAAAUUAGAGCUAGGGGGACUCAGGUUACUUGGACCAAACUUCUCAUCACCCUGCAUCCCACCACCAGCCAUGUUUUAAAAGCCAAUGUGUUAUUGGAGUAUAAGCAUGCUUGCAGAAAAGCACGUGCAUAUGUGUACGGUUUGACAGUUUUCCCAAAGUGAACAUACCCAAGAAAUCACCCCUCAGGUCAAGAAGCAGCACAUGGCCGGCACCACGGAAUGCCCUUCUAGACGCCAGGGGAACAGAGCUGCCGGACGUUCUAGUGAGUGCAUUUCUGCUGGUGAACCUGACUGUGCCCUUCCUUGUGGGAUCUGCCCAGGAUGGCGUCGCUGGGUCGAGGGGCAUGUUCAGAAUGCAAGUGGUGCCUGGUGCCUUUUCCAGAGUGGGCACUGGUUCACUCUCCCCUUGGCAGAGCGCGAGACCCCAGCGUCCAGCGUUGGGUGUGGCCCGUCUUUUGUCUCAUUCUGUUUUGUUUUGCUUUUCCUGAAUGACGUUGGUGACCUUUUUAUGUUUAUUGGACAUCAAUAUCCUUUUACAAAAAUCUACUCAAGUCUUCUGCUCAUUUUUCUGUUGUGCUGUCUGCUUUUCUUUCUUACUGAUUUUUAAAGUAGUUUUUGUGUAUUUUGAAUAUGAGUCAUUUGUUUGAUACACGUAUUGCAAAUCUCUCUUCCACUGGACCUUGCCUUUUAACUCUGAUGGUGUCUGCUGGUGGACAGCCGUUUUCAGUGCCAGUGCAGUCCGGUUUAUCAAGCUGUUCUGUGUCCCGUGCUUUUGUGCCUGGUGAAGGAAUCCUGCCUAACCCGAGGCCACGAAAGUAGUCUCCUGUGUUACCUGGAACAAUUGUUGUUUUCGCUUUCGUGUUUGGGCCUGUGGUCCUUCUCUACUUGUUUCUGUGUCUGCAGUGCAGUAGGGUUGAGACUGACCAUUUUCCCAGACGGAUGUGUCAUUUACCCAGCUCCACGUGUGGGAAGACCGACCUCCCCCAGUGCUGCGGUGCCACCUUUGCCGUCAGUCACGGGAGGGGCGGCGUGGCUCCUUCUGGACUCUGCUCUGUCCGUCAUCCCACUUGCAUGCCGGCACGAUUGCAACUGCCGCGUUCUAUGCCAAGGCCUGAGAUCGGCUCGUGUAAACCCUCCAGCUUGUUAUUCCAGGCGGCCUCAGCUAUUUUUGGUGAGAUACGCAUUUAAACCUUUGAUGCACAUCGUGAAACUGCCCUUCAGAAAGGUCGUAGCCAUUUAUCCAGCCACGGGCGGGCCUUGGCACUGCCGCCUCUCCCAAGCCAUUGCAGACUCUGAUGCGCAGGAAGUCACACCUGGUUGUCAUUCGAAGCUGCGUUGCUUUGUUAUGGGUGAGGCUUCCUAAGUGAAUUGGCCAUCUGCAUUUUUCUUUUAUGUCGUACACCUGCUUCUUUCCUGAUUUCUCCAGUGGAGUGUUUGCUUCGUUAGUGACUUCUGAGAGCUCUUGAUAUAGUUCCGACGUUAACUCAUUGCCUGCUGCUGCAAUCUCCCAGGCUUAUUUUUUAUAUUGACUAUUAUAGCCAGUGCAGAUGAAUGCUUGAACCUGUAGCGAGAAUCUGUUCCUCUAACUCCGGUCUCCGUCCCUCCCCUUCCUCUGCUCCUGCCUCCCUUUGUCAAGACCCUUGGGAUCACACUGGACACGUGUGGCUAACCCAGGAUCACCUCCCACCUCCAGACGUUUAAUUUACCCACACCGGAAAGGUCUGUUUUGCUAUGUAAAGUGACAUUCCCAGGCUCUGGGGUUAGGUUGUGAGCCUCUCAUACGGUGACAUUUCCAGGCUCUGAGGUUAGGUUGUGGACGUCGUCGUAUGGUGACAUUUCCAGGCUGUGGUGGAGGUUGUGGGCCCCUCGUACGGUGACAUGCUGGUGGAGGUUGUGGGCCCCGUCGUACGGUGACAUUUCCAGGCUCUGGUGGAGGUUGUGGGCCCCUCGUACGAUGACAUGCUGGUGGAGGUUGUGGACCCCGUCGUAUGGUGACAUUUCCAGGCUGUGGUGGAGGUUGUGGGCCCCUCGUACAGUGACAUGCUGGUGGAGGUUGUGGACCCCGUCGUAUGGUGACAUUUCCAGGCUCUGGUAGAGGUUGUGGGCCCCUCGUACGGUGACAUGCUGGUGGAGGUUGUGGACCCCGUCGUAUGGUGACAUUUCCAGGCUGUGGUGGAGGUUGUGGGCCCCUCGUACGGUGACAUGCUGGUGGAGGUUGUGGACCUCUCUGGCGGAGGGUGGACAUCGUGUUUUGUCUGUCGCAGAGGGUAAAUUAAGAAUCCGUAGGAAGCCCUUCCAGAACGCACUGCUGCAACUCUCGAGGCAGCGGCUGGAUCUCCAAGAAUGCAGCUAGAUCUCAGAGUGCAUCCCCAACGUUGCAGCAUGCGCAGGACCUUCCUCCUGAGGGCACCCACCUUGGUGAAUGGGAUUUUCUGUAUCCUGAUGUCUCUGCUCCAGUUGACGUGACAGACACAGGGUCAGACAGAAGCUUGCUGGACAUCAUGCUUCCCCCGAGGCCAAGGCCGGACGAGGGGUCUCUUCAGCUGCACAUCGGGCAGGUGAGGGGUGUCAGCCACGUCCCGGGGAACAAUAGCCUGCCCGCCUCAGCGGAACGGCGAACUCACUUUCCUGUGGUCUUUGGCAUCUGUCGUGUGGAUGCCACGGAGUGUGGCAAGUGACACCUGCGGUGUGGCACACUGAGACCGUAAAGAGCGGAAGACACCAGUACUUGACCCCAUGGCUGUGGGCUCGUCGCUUUGAAUAUGCCAGGGUGUGUGGAGCACAGGACAGCUAUUGUGUGGGGGAGACACUGAGCAUGGCCUCUGCAGCCUGUUGUUCUGGGGUGGCCUUGGUUAUGGCCACCUCUGUCACAGUGCACAGUGCGUCGGAGCCUCCUUCCAGAGGAGCGCUCGCCCACAGUCAGGGCCCCACCGAGGGCCACUCUUUUCACCAGGGUUUCUGAACGGGCCGCAUGGGAGCCCGGAACACAGGAAGGGCAACACCUCAUCUCAGCCCACCACACUGGGUCCCGGGGACCCUGGGGCGGGGUGGUCCCAACUCUGAGCUCCACUGCCAGUAGCUCUGCUGCCUUGGGGGGUCCUGUUGAAGCUACUCCCCGCCUCCCACCCUCCCCUCUGCACCAUGUUGUUUGUUGGGGGCUCUGACAGUGGAACCCCCUCAUGUCUGGGGCAGCCUUGGGUACCGGGUGCCACCCCCGUGCGGCUCAACACUGGACGGUGGUCUUCAUCCCUUUAGGCCUGGCUUAGCCUCUCCCAGGUCUGAGCCCAGGUGCGGUAGGAUUUGGGGAGGCCGUGGGCAUGACUGGAACGGGGCUGUGUUCUGACAUGUUACUGGGAUGAUCAUUUCCACAGCUCGAGACAUAAAUGCAGUCCCUCACCCA
Cercocebus atys (sooty mangabey) is the source of this 4611-nucleotide long non-coding RNA. RefSeq lists it as uncharacterized. The record is from RefSeq and is a predicted model, not a curated record. NCBI's taxonomy places the organism in Eukaryota, Metazoa, Chordata, Mammalia, Primates, Cercopithecidae. The transcript has 2 exons.